GACAGACCCUCGGGUCCAUCCUCUGCACAAAGGAAGUGGCUGAGGCCCUCUGCCCGCAUCCUGUCUUCCCCAACCCCCCAUGGCCUGUCCAUCUGUGUCCUUUUCCUGUGGAUCUUCCAUCCCAGCCUGGGCAGGGGGCUGUGUGCCCCCCCCCACCUGCAGCCAUUUCCUGCCCUCCUGUCAUCUGCUUCCUUUGAUCCUUUUGUAGAGAGCCUUCUGGAAGCCUCUAGACCAUUGGCAAACUUGGCAGCCUCCUCCCCUGGGCUAGGCCUGGCCUGCUGACCCCACCGGGCGGGGGUCAAAGUGGGCUUCUCUUGGGAUGCUGCCCUGGGAGGCAGAUGGGUCCUGGUGUCAUUCAUUCAUUCAUUCAUUCGUUCGUUCACUCACCGGAAUGACAUGCUCUGCAAGCUGCUUCAAGCCAGAAGACCAUGAGUGGUCACGGGAGGGCCAGGGCCCCAUCAGAAUGGACUUCUGGGACACAAGAAGGGGUCCCCCGGACCCAGCAGAGAGGCGGGGAGAGGCUGAAGAAGAGGGAGUUCGGGUACGAAGAGAUGGAUGCGCCUCAUUGGUCAGAAAGUGACCAACUUUCUGGGCUGGCCCUUCCCCUGGCAUGGUCCCCCAUGCCUGGCUCAGGGCAGAAGCCCGACGGAUGCCGUCGAGGGGCUGUCAUUCACUGAACGCUUACCAGGGGCUGGGCGCGCUGGGCUGGGCUGUUCACAGCAGGUGCAAGUCUGUCCCCUCCUCACUGCAGUCCUAUGAGACAGGUGCCAUCAUCCUCCCCCAUUGCGCAGAUGAGACAACUGAGGCACAGAGAGAUGAAGUUUGCCCAGGGCCCUGUGGGUUGUGGGUGGCAGAGCUGGCUUCUGAACCCUACAUCUGUGACUUCAGCCCCCAGGCUCUUCCGUCCCUUGGUGAAUGACCAAGGAGCCGGACUUCGGGCAUUGGGACCCUGGGCUCAUCUCUGUUGCAUGAGGUGGGGAACCCGCAGGGUGGCUGGAAAGUUCUCACCCCAGGGGGUAGGAACCAGUUGGGAAAGAGGGUAGAGCCCCCCUCCUCCAGAGGAGGUCCGUCAGAGGACAGCAGUUUGCACUGAGGGUAGCCCCCUUUCCAUAGUCCCCCCACAACACACACACUGGGUUGGGGGGAAAAGGAGAAGGGGGGGCGCCUUGAGGAGGCGACAUCUGAGCUGGGACCUGAGUCAGGAAGAAGCCUGGAGGCAUCCGGGUGUCUGGAACAGCGAAGACAAAGGGCAAACCAGCGCUAGAGGCAGAAGCGGGGUUUCGGGGGUGACCGGUGCCCUUCUGGGUACAGUGUGGAGCGGUCGGUCGGUAGGAGCCAGUGACAGCCCAAUCAGGUCCUUCAAAGUCUCUGUGUGCUUCCCCAGGGCUGCAUGGAGGAAGAGGCCGAGGGGGAGGGGACACGAGGCAAGGAGCCCAGGUGAGGCUGGCGCGUGGGGAGACAUGGUGAGGCUAGACUUGGGGGUGGUUCUGGAGAGGGAGAGAGCACAGACUUGCCUACCACCCGGUGUGGGGCUCAAAGAUGACCCCGAGUUCUGAGACCUGCAUUUGUCAGCACGGGGAGCCAGGAGAUGGAGGAGGGCCUGACGUGGGGGUGAGUGGGACCAAGCCUGGACUGCUGCUCUACACAGAAGGCCCCCCCACUGCUUCUCCUACUGCUGCCCACACCCGCCGCCCUACACCCCUGCAUCCUCAUUCUCCUGUGAUUGAUGAAGGCCCCAUGCAGUGUUUGCUCAGCUGUCUGGGCCCUCUGGGGCUGGCUGCGAGUCUGUCCUGGUGCAUCUGUCUGUCUCAGGGAGGAGGAAGCCUAAGGAGCAGGGCUGGGGGUGGGACACAGUGCGAGGCAGAGUGGAAAUCCAUCAGAGUUUGGAGCCCGGCCCUCCUUGCACUGCUUUUGACUCGUCCUGGGAAAUGGACAGUCCAGACCAGGGCUUUGAUCCUCUGUGGGCUACAGGUGGUGCCCCCAGGUGAGCUGUGGGGACUUAGGACUGGGAAGCUAUUCUCCACCUUGGCCUGUCUUAGAGACAGGCCCACUACGCACUCACUGCCCCUUCUUUGCUCUCCUCCCUCACCCCUUUUCCCCCACAAAUCUAGCCUUUAAGGCUUUUUGUUUAGUCCACUCAGCCCCUCCGUCUGCCUCCCUGGAACAACCCCCCAUUAGUUCUCACCUGGACAUCUGCAGCCGCUGUCUCAUGGGUCUUCCUCUCUGCUCCUACCUCUGCCCCUGCAGUCUCUUCUACUCAAGGCAGCCAGAGUAAUCUUCCUGGGAGUGCUUCUGAAUGUGUCACUCCUCUGCCUAUAGCCUUCCAUGGCUCCCCAUUACUCUCAGUCUGACACUGAGACUAACACAAAGCCAGAAUGGCGUGACCCACACUGACCUCUCCCUCCCUCCCUCAAUCAAUGCUACUUCUUGUAGCUCUCUGCUUGGGGAAUGGAGUAUUUUUCAAUGGUCUAAUUAGCCCUGUUUUCGUCUCACCCUUAGGACCUUUGCACAUGCUACUGUGUCCUUCACCAGGGGCAUCCCCAUAGCUUCCGCCCGGCUGACUCUUUUUCAAGCUUUGGGUCUCAGGUUAGACCUCUUCUCCUUUUUCUGCCCUCUUCCCCAAGCAGCAGGCUGGGUCAGGGACCCCUCCAGGCUCUGACACACCUCGGGCUUCCCUGAACACAGCCCUGACCACCCUGGGGCGAUCCCCUUCCAUGCCCAGCAUAUGGUAGGUGUCCGGGAGAAGGUUCAAGGCUGGGGAGGGAGGACUGGUCACUGGGUAGCCAGGCCUCCUGGCUCUGUGUGCAGCAGAGGGGAGGAGGGGGCUCUUGGAAUAAUGAUCACAGCGAAUGGGAUCCCCCAUGUCUGGGCCUCCAGCAUAGUCCCACACCUCACCCCCUGCCACAAACAGAGGCCGCUGAAGGUCACCAACGGGGACUCAGCCCACAGAACAGUAACAGUGGCGAUGCCCUGUGCUCUGAGCUGAGGGCCACACCUGCUUGAACUCAUUCUAUACCUUUAUCACCCCUGGCCCCAUGGGAAGAGCACUGGACAGGGAGUCCAAGUCAGGCUCUGGCAUGACCAAGUGCUCUUGGCCCCGGCGGGGGCCCCCAUGUUUUGCUUUGGACAGAGGUGAGUGAUUAACAUUGUGUUUCUCGGUCCUCAGAAUCAUCCCUCAGAGGCCGCCCAUGUUAUCCCCCUGUUCUCAGUGAGGCCGGGAGGAGCGAGGGGACCCACCCAAGUUCGCACAGUCGGUGAGUGGCAGAGCGGGAAUUUGGUUUUUCAAUUUAUGGAGGUUUAAUUGACAUCAAUAGAUGCACGAUUAAGGAGUUUGGGCGUGGCCAUGCACCCACAAAACCACCAUUCGCUUCAAGACAGUGAACAUAUCCACCAUCCUCCAAAAGUUUUCUUGUGCCCCUUUGUGGGACCUCCUGGCUCCCAAUGUCCCAAAGCAACCACUGAGCUGCUUUCAGUCAACAGGUUAGUUUUGCAUUUUCUAGAAUGUUCUAUAAAGGGGCUCACACGUAUGCGUCCCUUAUUGCCUGGCUGCUCUCACUCAGCUUCACGACCUUGAGAUCACAUGGUGUUCCAUGUAUCGAUAAUUAAUUUCUUCUUAUGAAUAACCUCUUAUCAAUAGUUAAUAGUGGUCGGGGUGCGUUCCAUGGUUGGACGUACCGCAAACUGUCGAGGCGGUUACCUGUUGACGGGCUGUUUCCAGUUCUGCCUGUUACACAUAAAGCUUCUAUGAAGAUUCCUGCAUGAGUCUUUGCACCGACCUGAAUUUUCACUGCUCUGGGAUAAACACCUUUGAGUGGAAUGUCCAGUCCUAUGACAGAGAUCACGAGUAGGCAGAGAGGCAGACAGAGAGAGGAAGAAGCAGCUCAGCUCUCCCACUGAGCGAGAGCCCCAUGCGGGGCUCCAUCUCCAGAUCCUGGGAUCAUGACCUGAACCGAAGGCAGAGGCUUUAACCCACUGAGCCACCCAGGCGCCCCAACAGUGACAAUCUCUGAAGAUUCCACCACACACGAGGAGAGCCCUAUGACCAUCCAGAAACAUAUGUUCGUGUGAGCUGGGGGCUGAUCCUUCCUCUCUGUGGAGGUGAACCAACUCCCCACCCCCACUCCAUUCAGCACAUCACAGAGGUUGUAAAAUGGGCCCACACCCAUCAGUCCAGGGGCCAAGGACCAAAAGGAUUGUCUGGGCCAGGGACUGGGCAGCUUCUGUUCCCACCUCCAACAUGCUGUGUGACAACCGAGCAAUUGAGAACUCAGAAUAAUUGUCCCUGUCCUCUGAGGAUUAGAGGAAACACAUGGAAGCUUUAGAAAGACAACAGCCCUUCACCCAUAUGAUGGACCGUUUUUCUGAAGGUGUCAGCAGGGUUCAGCCUUUGAACUAUACAGUCUUUUAUUACUAAAACCUGCCAGAAGGGUGUCGACUCUGCGCAGACCAGCUAGCUAGUUGUUCAUUCAUCCAUCCAUCCAUCCGUCCAUCCAUUCAUUCAUCCAACCAUUCAUUCAUUCUGCACCACCUGUGUACUAGGGCCACUGUAAGACUCCAGGGAUCUAGAAAUCAAUAUAGAUAGCUUCUGCCCUCAAGAAAUUGGCUGACACUUGGCUUUGAACAGAAAUCAGUCACUUCACAUGGGUUCUGGUUGAAGCUUGAACUUAGUCCUGGGGGAUUUGAGGAGGAACAUUGGCUGUGCUUGGGCUGGGCAGGUGAGAAGGGGGUCCUAGAGGGGGAGCAUACUCAUGAUCUGGAAGGAAAAGGCAGAGGAUGUAGAGAAGGACAUGAAGGCAGAAGGGAGAGUACUGGGGCGCCUGGGUGGCUCAGUCCGUUAAGCAUCUACCUUCAGCUUAGGUCGUGAUUCCAGGGUCUUGGGAUGGAGCCCUGAGCCCUGCAUCCCUCUCCUUGCUCAGCAGGGAGUCUGCUCAUCCCUCCCGCUCUGCCCCUCCACCUUGCUCAUGCUCUCUCGCUCACUGUCUCUGUCUCAGAUACAUAAGUAAAAUCUCAAGAAAGAAAGAAAGUUAGAUGAGAAGAAGAAAAAAGGAAAGAAGGAAGCAAGGAAGAAGGGAGAGAACACCCAAAGCCACGGGGCCAGGAGGGACAUCCUUGCGUGCCUGGAUGACACUUGAUUCAUCCCUCUGAAGAGAUGAAAGGCAUCAGGUUCAUUGCUGUCCACACCGGGUCUUCAAAGCCACCCUGGCCCCAGCGCUAGACCCUCUUGGCCAAAAACCUGAGUCUUCAACUCCCUGCCCAUCCUUGGACUUGCACAUUCUGUCCCAGGGAGCCUGGGAGCACCUCCGUAGUCUCAACACACCACGUCUGACACCUGGCUGGCCCUCAGGUAAAAGAAAAUAUUGCUGAAUCUACAAUAAUAUUAGAGUUUACCUCCAGAUUCUUUCUCCCCCAGAUCUGACCAUUUCCAUUUGCAAUUCGUGCCUGAAACCAAAGCCAACUGCCUGGCCUCUUCUCUGCCUACAAAACAUUUUUACUGAUUUUAUGGCUACAAAAAAAAAAAAAAAAAAGAAAGAAAGAAAGAAAAUUUCCUUCCUGUCUUCACAUUUGCAGGAAAGAGAGCCCUGGCCCUGACUCAGAAUUGGAUUCUAGCUGGAGGCGUCCUCUCCGCCGCUGGCUCCAGGGAAAGGGUUGAUCUGUUUGUUCCCUGACCUUGAGCGGGAGCUAAGGCAGCCGGAGAGAGAGGACACACAGGAGCUGGGAGGGAAAUGAGACAAGCUGGAGCUGUGGUCCUGGGACCCCCGAAGCCUGCGCCAGGGACCAGCCAGGUGCUGGGAAAUGAGAGAGGGCGGAGACAGGCCCCACUCCUGGGUCCCUGGGCUGCACUGCCUGCCUGUCCCCAGCCUUGGCCCCCUAAAAAACGAACAGAAUAGGUAUUCAGAUCACUCUCGGGGGCCAUAAAGCGCUCAGGUAGAAACUGACUUUGCCAUCCACACGAGGGCCAACUGUGGCUUGGUGACUGACCCAGUGCUCCCUGGAGGAGGGAAUCAGCCCAGGCAGCCUGGUCCUGGGGUGGCACGCCUACAGACCAAGGACGGUGGCACCCGGGGGGAGGCGAGAGACGAAGAAAUCGGGAAAGAAAAGAGCCCUUCCUAUAAAGGGUCUCCUUCCUGCUAGUACAUGAAUGCGACUGAACUCACACCUGUGUCAAGCACCUUCUGUUGGCCGGGAUCCUUCCUCUCCACGAGGCCCCCCUCUUUUCUCCAGCGGAACUGGAAGCAGACUUUCAUCCCAGACCAUUUAUUUCCUCCCCGAGAACCUCACUCUCACUACAACAGUGAAGCUCUUGUUGUAGACAUUGCAGAAAAUGCAGGCGAGCUCAAUGAAGAAAAUAAAACCACUUUUAACCCCGUCAUCUGAAGACGACGACGGGACUUUUGACGUUUGGGGGUGUUGGUUCCCCUCUAGGGUCUCCAUAUCCAGUGUCUUUGCUUAGAGUC
Mustela lutreola (European mink) is the source of this 6455-nucleotide long non-coding RNA. RefSeq lists it as uncharacterized. NCBI's taxonomy places the organism in Eukaryota, Metazoa, Chordata, Mammalia, Carnivora, Mustelidae. The transcript is spliced from 4 exons. The record is from RefSeq and is a predicted model, not a curated record.